This is a long non-coding RNA of Felis catus (domestic cat), 221 nucleotides long. RefSeq lists it as uncharacterized. NCBI's taxonomy places the organism in Eukaryota, Metazoa, Chordata, Mammalia, Carnivora, Felidae. The record is from RefSeq and is a predicted model, not a curated record. The transcript is spliced from 2 exons.
AGGUUGGCGUCACCACGGAUUUCUCUGAGACAAUCGCUCCAUGGGUAGCUACAUAUUUGGUGCACCUCCGGGAGCUGAUGGAAAACACAGACGUUACAGAUUGAAAUUCAAGAGAAUCUACACUUAGAAGACUUAAAGAUUUGCACCUGGAAAACAAAACAAAACAAAACAAAUGACUGUCUUGCAUAGUCAGAUAAAAUAAAAGAGAAUUACAGAUGUUA